Molecule: ribosomal RNA, 960 nt
Filed under: uncultured Bacillota bacterium
Lineage: Bacteria; Bacillati; Bacillota
Description: bacterial SSU rRNA
Rfam family: Bacterial small subunit ribosomal RNA
Source: RNAcentral
UGGAUCCACACUUUGAUCAUGGCUCAGGAUGAACGCUGGCGGCAUGCCUAAGACAUGCAUGUCGUACGAAGGGGCCCAAUGAAAAGAAUUGAAGUUUGGAGUGCUUGCACAAAGAAUGGAUUUUCUUGGAUUUGGAUUUUCCCCUUAGUGGCAAACGGGUGGGUAACACGUGGGUUACCUGCCUCUAAGAUGGGGAUAACAGUUGGAAACGACUGAUAAUACCGAAUGUGCUCUACGGAGUAAAGAUGCCUUUAAAGCAUCGCUUAGAGAUGGGCCUGCGGCGUAUUAGCUAGUUGGUGGGGCAACGGCCUACCAAGGCGACGAUGCGUAGCCGAACUGAGAGGUUGAUCGGCCACACUGGGACUGAGACACGGCCCAGACUCCUACGGGAGACAGCAGUUAGGAAUAUUCGUCAAUGGGGGAAACCCUGAACGAGCAAUGCCGCGCGAACGAUGACGGCCCUAUGGGUUGUAAAGUUCUGUUGUUUGGAAAGAACGUCAGAUAGAGGAAAUGCUAUCUGAGUGAUGGUACCAUUCAAGAAAGCCACGGCUAACUACGUGCCAGCAGCCGCGGUAAUACGUAGGUGGCGAGCGUUAUCCGGAUUCAUUGGGCGUAAAGGGUGCGCAGACGGUUUAUUAAGUCUAAAAUCAAAUCUUGGGGCUUAACCCCAUUCCGUUUUAGAAACUGGUAGACUUGAGUAUGGUAGAGGCAAAUGGAAUUCCUAGUGUAGCGGUGGAAUGCGUAGAUAUUAGGAGGAACACCAGUGGCGAAGGCGAUUUGCUGGGCCAUUACUGACGUUCAGGCACGAAAGCGUGGGGAGCAAAUAGGAUUAGAUACCCUAGUAGUCCACGCCGUAAACGAUGAGUACUAAGUGUCGGGUUACCGGUGCUGAAGUUAACACAUUAAGUACUCCGCCUGAGUAGUACGGUCGCAAGGCUGCAACUCAAAGGAAUUGACGGA